This 386-nucleotide long non-coding RNA is filed under the name Androctonus crassicauda. The record is from RNAcentral. Lineage: Eukaryota; Metazoa; Arthropoda; Arachnida; Scorpiones; Buthidae.
GGAGUCCUAAAGAAAGGAGACUCCACUCUUAAAAAUGGAGAGACUAUCGAAUCCAUGGAAGAGGGUGAAGUGUACAACUAUUUAGGAUUCCAGUAGGCCAGAUUCCCAGAACAGAAGAAAACUAAACAAACACUGUCAAAACUGUACACCAACAGAUUAAAUAACAUUCUCAAAACACAUCUUAAUGGAAAAAACACAGUCGUCAACCCAUUUGCCAUCCAGUACUGACCUAUUCCUUUGGAGUGAUACAGUGAACACAGACAGAAUUAGAAUCACUCCAAAGAACACAAACAACACUUACAAAAUACCAGCUGUGAAGAGGUUAACUCUGACCUAUCCUGUUUAUUAUUUUAUUAUGCUCUCAUUAUUUUAUCAUUAUAUUCAUU